This is a non-coding RNA of Mycena galericulata, 102 nucleotides long. The record is from the annotation of a GenBank genome assembly. Lineage: Eukaryota; Fungi; Basidiomycota; Agaricomycetes; Agaricales; Mycenaceae.
GACACCCUGGCCGAGUGGUUAAGGCGAUAGAUUAGAAUCUAGAGCAAAGCCGUCUUCAUCUAUUGGGAUUUUCCCGCGUAGGUUCGAAUCCUACGGGUGUCG